RNAcentral lists this ribosomal RNA (868 nucleotides) under uncultured archaeon. RNAcentral's name for it is "bacterial SSU rRNA". It matches the Rfam family "Archaeal small subunit ribosomal RNA", at positions 1 to 878 of the family's 1478-position model. The record is from RNAcentral.
CUCCGGUUGAUCCUGCCGGACCCGACUGCUAUCAGAGUGGGACUAAGCCAUGCGAGUCAACAUAGCAAUAUGUGGCAUACGGCUCAGUAACACGUAGUCAACAUGCCCAGGGGACGUGGAUAACCUCGGGAAACUGAGGAUAAACCGCGAUAGGUCAUCACUUCUGGAAUGGGUAAUGACUUAAAUCUAUAUGGCCCCUGGAUUGGACUGCGGCCGAUCAGGCUGUUGGUGAGGUAAUGGCCCACCAAACCUGUAACCGGUACGGGCUCUGAGAGGAGGAGCCCGGAGAUGGGCACUGAGACAAGGGCCCAGGCCCUAUGGGGCGCAGCAGGCGCGAAACCUCUGCAAUAGGCGAAAGCUUGACAGGGUUACUCUGAGUGAUUUCCGUUAAGGAGAUCUUUUGGCACCUCUAAAAAUGGUGCAGAAUAAGGGGUGGGCAAGUCUGGUGUCAGCCGCCGCGGUAAUACCAGCACCCCGAGUGGUCGGGGCGUUUAUUGGGCCUAAAGCAUCCGUAGCCGGUUCUACAAGUCUUCCGUUAAAUCCACCUGCUUAACAGAUGGGCUGCGGAAGAUACUAUAGAGCUAGGAGGCGGGAGAGGCAAGCGGUACUCGAUGGGUAGGGGUAAAAUCCGUUGAUCCAUUGAAGACCACCAGUGGCGAAGGCGGCUUGCCAGAACGCGCUCGACGGUGAGGGAUGAAAGCUGGGGGAGCAAACCGGAUUAGAUACCCGGGUAGUCCCAGCUGUAAACGAUGCAGACUCGGUGAUGAGUUGGCUUCUUGCCAACUCAGUGCCGCAGGGAAGCCGUUAAGUUUGCCGCCUGGGGAGUACGGUCGCAAGACUGAAACUUAAAGGAAUUGGCGGGGGAGCA